RNAcentral lists this ribosomal RNA (181 nucleotides) under Cytospora eucalypti. RNAcentral describes it as "5.8S ribosomal RNA". The stretch from base 15 to 168 matches the Rfam family "5.8S ribosomal RNA". Rfam says of the family: 5.8S ribosomal RNA (5.8S rRNA) is a component of the large subunit of the eukaryotic ribosome. It is transcribed by RNA polymerase I as part of the 45S precursor that also contains 18S and 28S rRNA. RNAcentral also lists the same sequence under 2 other names. Lineage: Eukaryota; Fungi; Ascomycota; Sordariomycetes; Diaporthales; Cytosporaceae. The record is from RNAcentral.
UCUAAAUGAAUUAAAACUUUCAACAACGGAUCUCUUGGUUCUGGCAUCGAUGAAGAACGCAGCGAAAUGCGAUAAGUAAUGUGAAUUGCAGAAUUCAGUGAAUCAUCGAAUCUUUGAACGCACAUUGCGCCCUCUGGUAUUCCAGAGGGCAUGCCUGUUCGAGCGUCAUUUCAACCCUCAA